Molecule: non-coding RNA, 2941 nt
Organism: Ciona intestinalis (vase tunicate)
Lineage: Eukaryota; Metazoa; Chordata; Ascidiacea; Phlebobranchia; Cionidae
Source: RefSeq, a predicted model, not a curated record
AGCUCAAACACCGUGAAAUUCAUAAAACUGACUUAAAACUGCGUGGCAAAAAAAAUUAAGAAGUGUACUACCCACGUGACAAAUCAUGGAAAGAACGUGGAAAGAGCCAACAAAGACGGGACGAGAGCAAGUGCGAGUUUGCCUACGCCCUGAAACAUCUCGGCUCCCGCGCGUACGCGAAGGAAGAGAAGGAAACCAGCAUGCGCAACGAAAUUCUCUAUUUGGCGUUAGUACAUGGUCUGGCCGACAACGAACUGGCAAAUUCAAUACCAAAUAAAAUAGGGUACUCCCGAGAUUUCUGGGAUGCAGCGAAGCUAGUUUUGUAUUCAGAACCCUUAUCUCAAAUACUCGAAAACGGUCCUACUUUGUGAAUGUGGCCAAAACAGAAAGUGUGACAAAGCAAGUAAACCCAACGAGAGAAAAUUGGUUCACGAUAAGGAUGGAAUUAGAAAACAUGAAGCGUAUGAUAGUUUCAUUUGAAAACACCACGAGUGGGAAACAUUGACCCACCCCAGCUGGUCGUUAAUGCUUUAGUUGCGGUCAGUAGGGACACAUCUGAAGAUUUUGCCCAAACUUACAACCAAGGUAUGAUGCGUUCGACGGAGAGAAAUAUUCGUGCUGACUCGGCAAAAAAUAAGAUACAAACUAAAAGAACAGGAAACGUUAUCCGAAGUGAACUUUGCGGGAGAUAUAUCGUACGAUUUCAUUCUGGGACUGGACUUUUUGCAACAAAAUCAUUGUCGUUUGUAUCAUAGAUCAAACUUGAUGACUACGCCAAAAUCCGGCGUCCCACUUUUGUCCAAACCAUAUAUUCCGGAGUGUCAUAAAGUAUGUGUAAUUGAAAAAGUCGAAGUUGCGUUUACUGAGGUAAUAGUACGUGCUAUAUCCAGUCGACAUGGAGGAAAUAAUAAACUUACACCAGAAUUUUCAGCGUUCGUCGAGAGAAACAAGCAGUUUUGCUCUCGGUUCGGUUAAUUGACAGUCAACGGUAUUACCGCGUACCAACGAAACGCCUCAAGGCGCAGCAUUAGUUCCCGCCAGCUGCUCAAUCAAUGCUGUAACUAAACAUAAGUUGGUGUUCGACGGCGUGAACCUCAGUGACAAAUUUAAUGGACAACAUAGGAAAGCCAUAGAACGUCUGUUGCACGACCAUACUAAUGCUUUUUCUGUUUCCAGCACAGAUUUAGGUCGAACGAACUGGGUAAAACAGAACAUCGACACGGGAGAUGCAAGACCAAGGCAACCCCUGAGAAGAACCUCCACAAGCGACAGCAGAUCGAGGAUAUAAUUUUGGAAAUGAGAAGUCUGAACUUAAUAAAACCGUCAACUUCUCCGUGGUGGAGUUGUUUUGGUGAGGAAAAAGUUGGGUGAGCCACGUUUUUGCAUUGACUACCGCCAGCUUAAUGAGGUAACUAAGAAAAACAGUUACCCUUCACCACGCGUCGAUGACAUCUUGGACGAAAUGGCCGGAUCCACUUUCUUUUCGACGCUGGACCUAAAAUCUGGCUAUUGGCAAAUAGCAAUGGAUGCAGAUUCACGUGGGACUAUUUGAAUUUACUGUCAUACAGGUAUGGAAGGAACGGAGUGUUGGCCUAUCUUGACGGUAUCGUUGUGCAUGUACGCAAUUUAACGAUUAAAUGAAGUGCUGAACCGAAUCGAAGACGCGGGACUCACUCUGAAACUAUCGAAGUGCUACUUGUUCGAAGAAAAGGUUCGAUUUCUUGAACACAUCGUCUCUAAAGUUGGCAUAGCUUGUGUUCCGGACAGAUUGCAGCUGUAGCUUCGUGGCCGGUACCCAGAUCAAUGAAUCAGGUACGUCAGUUUGUUGGUUUGACUUCAUAUUAUCGAAAGUUUGUCAAGGAUUACGCAAAAAACUGCCGCACCAUUGCAUAAACUUACAAAGAAAGGUCACAAGUUUGAAUGGUCAGACGAAUGUCAACAGUCAUUUUCCGCUCUAUAAGAUGUGCUGGUUGUAACUCAUGUACUACACAAUACACUUGCUUUUCUUGUUCUUUCAUAGUAGACACCCGAUGCUUCUGGCCACGCACAGGAAUGCGUGCUUGGACAAGUCAUUGACGGAAAAGAAAAUGUAGCAGAACGACACUACUCUACCACGCAAAACGAGUUACUCGAAGUGAUCUUUGCAACAAAACUAUUUAAAUUCUAUCUUUUAGGCUGGAAGUUCACAUUACGAACAGAUCACGCAUCUCUCCGAUAGCUAUGGAAAUCUCGGGAAAUCUACGCGCAAUGUGGCCGUUGGGUAGAACUUGGCCCAAUUCAACUUCGAGAUUGUACAUCGCCCGCAGAAGUCAAACACAAGAACGCUGAUUCGUUGAGUCGACGAGACGAGGACGACAACUGUCCGUUCAACGUCAAGGUGGAAAAGAUAAUACACAACAAAAAUGAAAUUCGCUAAUACCAUCGCAGGAAACAAGAGCGUUGCAGCGUAUCGAGAUUGACGUCCUUGGCCCCCUCCCAGUGACAUCACUAGGGUUCCAAUACAUACUCGUCACCUGUGAUGUGUUCACCAAGUAUGUACGAGCCUGGCCAAUGCGUCGACAGACAGCGAAGGAGCUAGAAAGCCUGUUGUAGCAUCAAUGGUUUACUCUACAUAAAGUGCCGGAAACUAUACACUCGGAUCGAGGUACAAAUUUUGAGAGUAAAUUGUUUCAGGAAUUUGUUCAACUUAUGGGAAGCAAUAAAACUCGUAGCAUGGCUUAUCACCCGGCAUGCAAUGGUGGAGUUAAGCGUAAUAAUAAAACAAUAACUGGCAUGAUCCGAGACUACGUUCCAAAGGACGAAAAGGGCUGGGACAAUCCACUGUCAGCCGUGGUAGCCGCUUACAAUUCAAGUAAGCAUGAGGGCACUGGCGUCGCACCUCAUUUUCUGUUGACAGGUCCAACACUCCGUCUCCCAGCAGACUUAAUGAAUCCGACACCAA